GAUGAACGCUGGCGGCGUGCCUAAUACAUGCAAGUCGAGCGAACAGACGAGAAGCUUGCUCCUCUGACGUUAGCGGCGGACGGGUGAGUAACACGUGGAUAACCUACCUAUAAGACUGGGAUAACUUCGGGAAACCGGAGCUAAUACCGGAUAAUAUUUUGAACCGCAUGGUUCAAUAGUGAAAGACGGUUUUGCUGUCACUUAUAGAUGGAUCCGCGCCGCAUUAGCUAGUUGGUAAGGUAACGGCUUACCAAGGCAACGAUGCGUAGCCGACCUGAGAGGGUGAUCGGCCACACUGGAACUGAGACACGGUCCAGACUCCUACGGGAGGCAGCAGUAGGGAAUCUUCCGCAAUGGGCGAAAGCCUGAAGGAGCAACGCCGCGUGAGUGAUGAAGGUCUUCGGAUCGUAAAACUCUGUUAUUAGGGAAGAACAGAUGUGUAAGUAACUAUGCACGUCUUGACGGUACCUAAUCAGAAAGCCACGGCUAACUACGUG
This 497-nucleotide ribosomal RNA is filed under the name uncultured bacterium. RNAcentral describes it as "partial 16S ribosomal RNA". It matches the Rfam family "Bacterial small subunit ribosomal RNA", at positions 28 to 507 of the family's 1533-position model. The record is from RNAcentral.